GGGGGUGUAGCUUAACGGUUAAAGCCACCGGCUCAUAACCGGCCCGAUGGGGGUUCGAAUCCCUCCGCCCCUACCA
This 76-nucleotide transfer RNA is filed under the name Stappia sp. 22II-S9-Z10. RNAcentral's name for it is "tRNA-Met". It matches the Rfam family "tRNA". Rfam says of the family: Transfer RNA (tRNA) molecules are approximately 80 nucleotides in length. Lineage: Bacteria; Pseudomonadati; Pseudomonadota; Alphaproteobacteria; Hyphomicrobiales; Stappiaceae. RNAcentral also lists the same sequence under 1 other name. The record is from RNAcentral.